Molecule: long non-coding RNA, 662 nt
Organism: Paramisgurnus dabryanus
Lineage: Eukaryota; Metazoa; Chordata; Actinopteri; Cypriniformes; Cobitidae
Source: RefSeq, a predicted model, not a curated record
CGAGACGGUAGUAAAAGAGGGAAAAACUCCUUUACAUUUCGACAUUUUUUAUACUAAAUCCCAUUUAUUUUGUAGUUAAUUGUUAGAUAAGGUCAUAACUUCGUCAAGUUUUCGUUACAGGCCUUUAAACAUCUGAUAAAUGUGUACUACAAAAAAGGUUUUCUGUGCUAUGUGCUAUAAGUCUGAGGUAGGACUAUCCUUGUGGUUUGAGUGGAACAAUGGGGGUAUUGAGACCAAAAUAAACAAUGUGCCACUCUAGACAGCUGUGGACAAAAAUAUGCAGUCAGAGUAGCCUAUUUUCUCAAACAGAAAGAGAAUUCCAGGCCAAAAGGACUCAACAGAGACAGCAUUAUGAGGAGCAACCAGUACAUCAAAGCAAAAAGAUGCUAUGAUGUUGUCUGAGGCACCUUAUUUUCCAUGUCCUUCACAAUCACAACUGCAGCACACCAGUCAAUUUCUUCCAUUCGGAAGAAUCAGGUUAGAAGACAGCGGAAAGAAUUGGCAUCGCAGAGACACACACCAAGAGACACACACACACAGGCAGCUGAAGCGAGUUUGACUGACGUGCACAGGAGAUCAGGCACGUGCACGGAAGGUCGUGCACGCACACACAAACAUGGAGCACAGCAUAAUUACAACUGUUGGAUUAAAAUAAAAGUACU